AGCAUCUUUGUCCUUCAUAAUUCCUAACCCUAUUUCAUUCUUUCAGCUGUAUCUCUCUUUCUCUGGUUUCACUCUACAUCGUCUUCGAACUUGGAUUUAUCAUCUCUUCAUCGGCUACAAUUCCUCAAACACGUUAAAUCUCAUUCAUCUUUUUCCCCUUGAUUUUAUUACAUCUUGAAAGAUCUACAAACAUAUCCACCUGCACCGACACCUUCAUCUCGCAAAAAGCUCACAAAAUCAUCCAAAAAGCCGAAAUUCACCCCCAAACCAUCGGUUCAGAGGAGAGGAACUUUUGUCUUACCUAAAAGUGACAGUAGUGAUGAUGAUUCUGAAACCGAGCAGGAAUUACUCCACACAGUCAUUCUUUUGAUUUAUGCAUCAAAACGAGCUUAUGCAAGUCAUGCAAUGGGCAGAGGGUGGUGAGAGGCCCAAGUCUGUGAAAGUUAAUAUCAUGCCAGCUUGAAUAUGGGCAUGGGUGGCCGUCAGUGCUGCUGCUGCUGCUAAUAUCUUACGACUUGGGUUUUGUCAUCACUGUGGCUUCUGCCAUAAUAAUAAUAAUAAUAAUAAAUGCUGGAAUUAUUCUUCGUCGUCUCCAUAAUAUCUCUAAAUCACAUAAUUGUGCCAAUCAUCCAUGCUUUAUGUAAUUUUUCUGAAUGUAUCUUUAUGGGCAGGGUGUGUUCUAUCAGAUGUACAGUACCCGUGCAACCCAUGAAGCUAUAGUUGCCUUACGAUCGAAAUAAUGAAUACUCCUAUCGUUUGGUUGACAAACAUGUGUGUAUUCAUUGGCUUCGAGAAUUGAAAACCAAAUCGGCAAUUCGAACUAAAGAAGUUUCUUCUUUUCAUGAUAUCAUUUAUGCUUCUAUCAAGGUCUUUGAUCAUUCCGUGGAGGAGUACAUAACUGCCUAUGAGAUCUUUCACCUUCUAAUUUAGAUGGCAUUAUUCCGGCUUGAAUUAUUAACAUGUUACUUAAGACCAUAUGAAGAAGCAUAUUUCAUUUGUUUCAUUUUAUGUUUUUCAUCAAACAGAUCUGAGUUUAUCUUUUAGCAAAUGGAGACUUCAUUCUUCAAAGUUUUGCAGCACCUAGCAUCACUACACGGGUAUUAACUCGCUUAACAACAACUUAUUUUUUUAUGUUUUAUUAGUUAUGUUUUGCUGGAUCCAUUUUCUAUCCGGGGCAACUCCUCUCCCUUUUCACUCCCAGCUAUUCAAUUUCUUCUCGGAUUCACACUUCCCCUCUUCGAUUGAUAUUUGUGAUGUUACGUUUGAAGUUAAGUAUUUCAUGAUAGGAGGACGGUAUUUGUUCCACCUGUUACCUACCAUGAUGCCAUUAAAGGUUUCAAGAAGGUUGGUGUUAUUGGAUUGGGUCCCAGGGUUCAUGCACAUUAACAACAGUCGAUAGCAUUGAUGAAGUGACUUUCUUUCAACCGGAAGUUUCAUCAGGUACACUCUUGGUGAUCCAGCAAAAGAAGUAUUAAAACACUCAUGUCAAGAUUUGAUGAUGAUAUGCCAGGAUGUCCGAAGCACCUUUUAUCAAGCUGUUGCUGAAUUUAAGAACAAUAACAGUUCUGAAAGCGAGUAAAUGAACUACUCUUUUGAUCCUUUUAUAUUUAUAUCCACUUACUGAUUGUAUGGUUUGAUUUUGUUUGUUAUGACUGGUGGAAUUUUGUCUUUUUCUCAGACUUUGUUUUGUAUCUACCUUAUUUAGAGGUGACAAGUUCAGUCAGUUAAUCAUUUGAUGCGUGUUUA
Molecule: long non-coding RNA, 1746 nt
Organism: Helianthus annuus (common sunflower)
Lineage: Eukaryota; Viridiplantae; Streptophyta; Magnoliopsida; Asterales; Asteraceae
Exons: 12
Source: RefSeq, a predicted model, not a curated record